Molecule: ribosomal RNA, 412 nt
Filed under: uncultured Lactobacillus sp.
Lineage: Bacteria; Bacillati; Bacillota; Bacilli; Lactobacillales; Lactobacillaceae
Description: bacterial SSU rRNA
Rfam family: Bacterial small subunit ribosomal RNA
Source: RNAcentral
CGAGUCUGCCUUGAAGAUCGGAGUGCUUGCACUCUGUGAAACAAGAUACAGGCUAGCGGCGGACGGGUGAGUAACACGUGGGUAACCUGCCCAAGAGAUCGGGAUAACACCUGGAAACAGAUGCUAAUACCGGAUAACAACAGAUGAUGCCUAUCAACUGUUCAAAAGACGGUUCUGCUAUCACUCUUGGAUGGACCUGCGGUGCAUUAGCUAGUUGGUAGGGUAACGGCCUACCAAGGCGAUGAUGCAUAGCCGAGUUGAGAGACUGAUCGGCCACAUUGGGACUGAGACACGGCCCAAACUCCUACGGGAGGCAGCAGUAGGGAAUCUUCCACAAUGGACGCAAGUCUGAUGGAGCAACGCCGCGUGAGUGAAGAAGGGUUUCGGCUCGUAAAGCUCUGUUGUUGGUGAA